This 447-nucleotide ribosomal RNA is filed under the name uncultured bacterium. Its description in RNAcentral is "bacterial SSU rRNA". It matches the Rfam family "Bacterial small subunit ribosomal RNA", at positions 355 to 825 of the family's 1533-position model. The record is from RNAcentral.
UCGGGAAUUUUGGGCAAUGGGCGAAAGCCUGACCCAGCAACGCCGCGUGAAGGAUGAAGUAUUUCGGUAUGUAAACUUCGAAAGAAUAGGAAGAAUAAAUGACGGUACUAUUUAUAAGGUCCGGCUAACUACGUGCCAGCAGCCGCGGUAAUACGUAGGGACCAAGCGUUGUUCGGAUUUACUGGGCGUAAAGGGCGCGUAGGCGGUGUGUCAAGUCAGUUGUGAAAUCUCCGAGCUUAACUCGGAACGGUCAACUGAUACUGUCACACUAGAGUACAGAAGGGGCAAUCGGAAUUCUUGGUGUAGCGGUGAAAUGCGUAGAUAUCAAGAGGAACACCUGAGGUGAAGACGGGUUGCUGGGCUGAUACUGACGCUGAGGCGCGAAAGCUAGGGUAGCAAACGGGAUUAGAUACCCUCGUAGUCCCUGAGCGGGCUGGCAAGGCGCAU